Molecule: long non-coding RNA, 2493 nt
Organism: Scophthalmus maximus (turbot)
Lineage: Eukaryota; Metazoa; Chordata; Actinopteri; Pleuronectiformes; Scophthalmidae
Exons: 4
Source: RefSeq, a predicted model, not a curated record
GGUGGUGGUGGUGGUGGCCACCUGCCGCCGUCUACACCAGUUUUCCCAGUAGGAAGGAGAGAGACGCUCCCAGAGCCAGACCCAGAACCAGGAAGAAGGUCAUCAGAGAGCCGACGGUCUCGCCGUCCUGACGGUGCACCAGCCUGACGGACGCACGCGGUUACAACGUUCCUCAAAUAUGAUUGUUCUUUUUCAAACAAUGCAGCUCAUUUCACAGUUCCACAACACAUUUGGUCUGAACCAUAACGAGUGAUGUAACGCUAACAAUGUGUUGCUAACGUGAGGUGAACCUUGGUCCCCACCACCGGCUCUGACUUAGCUACCUUAGCAUUGUAGAGCUAAUAUUGUGUUGCUAACAUUUGAUAAACCUUGGUCCAAAUCACCAGUUCUGACUUAGCUAUCCGUGCUAACUUAAUUUGUAAAGCUAACAAUGCGUUGCUAACGUGAGGUGAACCUUGGUCCUGAUCACCAGCUCUGACUUAUUUACCUUAGCUUGUAAAUAGAGACAACUCGCUCCACCUGACUUUACUUUGGUAAAGAGCUUGUCAGAGGACACGUGAGCGACACUCACUGUGGAGCGUAGGCCAUGCAGAGGGUUGCCAAGUAUCCAUUGGAGAAGGAGAACAGAGCCAUGAUGGCGACGAAGGCAGCGUCGUGGCUGAAGAGGACGGUGAGACGGGAGUUCUCCACGUUGCACAUCAUGAGCAGAGGGACGAAAACCAGACGAGACACCACGGUGGCAGGAAACAGGAGGCUGCCCUUCGAUGGCUGCGGCACCAACAGACAACAACAGCAGAUGAGAGAGUAUCCGAUGAUCUUGAUCACCGCCUUCAGCAUCUGAGGACGGACGGACUCACCCAUUGGACGAGAGACGGCGUGCCGCGGCCGGCCAGGUCCAUGGCGUUAAAAACGAUGAAGCAGCAUGUACAGGUGAAAAAGUCCUUGACCUUCUUGAACACUCCCAGGACCGACGAGCGCUCCCGACCCUCCUGUGGCUCACCGAGGAACUUCCCGUUGGCUUCAAGGUCUUUGCCGUUCAAGAUCUUUUUGUCUUCAAAAAGAAAAGAAAAAGGAAAUAAUGAGCGUGUCAGUCACUUGGUUUUAUAACUUGAGCGGUCGAGAUCGGACGACUCGCUCACACGAUAACCGGCGUGUCGCAGAAUCAGACCUGAGCUGCCGAGGAGUUCCUGCGACGCUUCUGAACGGCUCCUGUUCAGUGUCAGAGUGUGGUACCUCCUCCUCACCAGGUGGGGCAGCAGCAGGUAGCACAGCAGAGUCCCCAGAGUGGCCACACACGGAGUGAUGAAGUAUCCCAACGCAGCCAAGCUCUUCUCCGCGUCACCUGCAGCGGCACGGAGACGCCGCCUUGUUAUUCAAAGUAUAAAAUCGAGCUGUAACUUACACAAGAUGGAGGAGAGCAUGGCGACGGCAGCGAAGAUCCCGGCCAGACCCUGACCACUCAUGAACAGAGUGUUGUAACGAUGAGGGAACAGGCCGACCACGCCGAACAGACUACCCUGCAGCACCGCACUGCACACUGCGCACACAAGUUAUGAUGUUGUCAACCACAUGGUUAUUCCGACAGGUUUAUGGUUGAGCAGUAAAAGCAGCACAAAGUUUCCCUACAUGUGAAAAAGGAACAUUUCAGGUUUUUCUGCUUUGUCUGUUAUUUUAACAAACUCCUCGACUCACUGUUGAUGAACCAGAUGCUCGUCAUAGUGACGGAGAAGAAUGUGUCCGGCUGCAUCGGGACCGAGACCAGAGCGGCAGUGAGGGCGAAGAUGAUGAAGAUGGUGAUGAGGCUGAAUACCACCCUGACGCGUUCCCUCACCCUGCAGAGAGAGAGAGAGAGGAGAGAAUACUCACCAUCAACCAUCAGAAGUUCAUUCAAGUUUAAUGGCUUGAAGCUCGUAGCAGAGUCACUAACUCACCACUGAUACAGGAAGGAGUUGAGCAGCGUGAAGAGGAGCAGGGGCAGCUGGGAGAGCAAGGCCAUCCAGCUGUCAAAGUUGUAGUCUGUAGUGGUGCCGCCACCUGAUGUGCCGUUAGAGGUGAUGUUAAGAACCGCGAGGCGCUCGUUGAAAUACUUUAAACAAGAGGAGGGAAAACAUUUUACAGAUUCAGGCGAAGUUCACACAGUUGGAUGUGAAUAAUCUGAUCUCUCCACUGUUUCAUCUUGUUCUGAAACCAAAGUGUCUCACAAUGACACAUGACUGACUGACGCCUCCUCAGUAGCAUGAAGGUGUGAAACCUGAGUGGCUGUGAUGAAGAAGUUCCAGGGCAGCAGAGUUCCCAGACCAAGAGCAAAGAAGAUGAGGGCAACCGCCUGACCACUGUGGAAACAUAACAUGUCGAUCACCUGAACGAGUUCCAACCAACCAACCAACGACCAACCAACCAAAUCACCAACUAACCAACCAAUCAAACCACCAACCAACGACCAACCAACCAACCAAAUCACCAACUAACCAACCAACAACAAACCAACGACCA